Molecule: ribosomal RNA, 1047 nt
Filed under: Haplosclerida sp. 10 JV-2020
Lineage: Eukaryota; Metazoa; Porifera; Demospongiae; Haplosclerida
Description: partial large subunit ribosomal RNA
Rfam family: Eukaryotic large subunit ribosomal RNA
Source: RNAcentral
UUCCUCAGUACGGCGAGCGAAGUGGGACAGCUCAGGCUGCCAAUCUCCGGCCGAGAGGUCGGCGAAUUGUGGUCUGGAGACGCCUGCUGUCCUCGCCCGUUUCCCCAGCCCGAAGUUGACCUGGAACGGUGCGUCAGAGAGGGUGACAAUCCCGUAGGGCUGUCCGGGAAGCGGGUGGACGUGAGCUGGCGCUCGGCGAGUCGGGUUGUUUGGGAUUGCAGCCCAAAGCGGGUGGUAAACUCCAUCCAAAGCUAAAUAGUGGCACGAGACCGAUAGCGAACAAGUACCGUGAGGGAAAGGUGAAAUAGCACUUUGAAAAGAGAGUCAAAGAGACCGCGAAACCGUUGGGAGGGAAGCGCACGGCGGCGAGCCGUGUCCGCGGUGGAACUCAGCAUGGCGUGCUUGCACCUCGGGUGCCGUGGCGCCUGUUCCGACGAGUCUUCUCGGCCGAGGUCAGAGAAGCGUCGGCGGCAGGAGAGCUGCGGUGCUGCCUGCGCACUUUCCGCCCGGACUCGUCAGCGAGGAUCGCCUCGGGCUCACAAGAGCGGCGGGGUAGGUGGCCCGGCAGAGUCCAGGCUCUGCUGGGACCUUAUAGCCCGUCGUCUCGGCUGCGGCCGCGGUCCGAGCGUCGAUCGAGGAGUGUUGCGAGCGUUGUUCGCCGGAGAGGCUCGGUAGGCAACGGAGGGCGUUUGCUUUCCCGUCUGCCGAGCUCCGACGCUGGCGUCGAGUCGCUGCCGUGCGACCCGUCUUGAAACACGGACCAAGGAGUGCAGGAGGCGCGCGAGUCUUCGGGUGAAGGAAACCCGACUUGGGCGAAGCGAGAGUGAAACGCGGGAGCCGGCGCUUGCCGUCGGCGCACCGUGGACCGAGCCGUGUGGUCACGCUGUGGCCGGCUUCGAGUCAGAGCGCACCUGUUGCGACCCGAAAGAUGGUGAACUAUGCCCGAGGAGGGUGAAGCCAGGGGAAACUCUGGUGGAAGCUCGUAGCGGUUCUGACGUGCAAAUCGAUCGUCGCACUUGGGUAUAGGGGCGAAAGACUAAUCGAACC